CGCUGGCGGCGUGCCUAAUACAUGCAAGUCGAACGGUCUUUCUAUGGAAGCUUGCUUCCACUGAGAAGAUAGUGGCGAACGGGUGAGUAACACGUGGGUAACCUGCCCAUAAGAGGGGGAUAACAUCCGGAAACGGGUGCUAAUACCGCAUAGUUUUCUUGAUCGCAUGAUCGGGAAAGGAAAGACGGCCUUUGUGCUGUCGCUUAUGGAUGGACCCGCGGCGUAUUAGUUAGUUGGUGAGGUAACGGCUCACCAAGACGAUGAUACGUAGCCGACCUGAGAGGGUGAUCGGCCACAUUGGGACUGAGACACGGCCCAAACUCCUACGGGAGGCAGCAGUAGGGAAUCUUCCGCAAUGGACGAAAGUCUGACGGAGCAACGCCGCGUGAGUGAAGAAGGUUUUCGGAAUCGUAAAACUCUGCUGUCAGAGAAGAACAAGUCGGAGAGUAACUGCUCCGGCCUUGACGGUAUCUGACCAGAAAGCCACGGCUAACUACGUGCCAGCAGCUGC
This 511-nucleotide ribosomal RNA is filed under the name uncultured bacterium. RNAcentral describes it as "bacterial SSU rRNA". It matches the Rfam family "Bacterial small subunit ribosomal RNA", at positions 34 to 518 of the family's 1533-position model. The record is from RNAcentral.